CCCUUAGAUGUCCUGGGCCGCACGCGCGUUACACUGAUGCGUUCAACAAGCUUAUAACCUUGGCCGAGAGGCCUGGGCAAUCUUGUUAACGUGCAUCGUGAUAGGGAUAGAUUAUUGAAAUUAUUAAUCUUGAACGAGGAAUUCCUAGUAAACGCAGAUCAUCAAUCUGCAUUGAUUACGUCCCUGCCCUUUGUACACACCGCCCGUCGCACCUACCGAUUGGAUGGUCCGGUGAAGCCUCGGGAUUGUGGUUCUUGCCGCUUUAUUGUGGCGUGACCGCGAGAACUUGUCUAAACCUUAUCAUCUAGAGGAAGGUGAAGUCGUAACA
Molecule: ribosomal RNA, 328 nt
Filed under: uncultured eukaryote
Lineage: Eukaryota
Description: partial 18S ribosomal RNA
Rfam family: Eukaryotic small subunit ribosomal RNA
Source: RNAcentral